Molecule: ribosomal RNA, 977 nt
Filed under: Epicoccum dendrobii
Lineage: Eukaryota; Fungi; Ascomycota; Dothideomycetes; Pleosporales; Didymellaceae
Description: partial large subunit ribosomal RNA
Rfam family: Eukaryotic large subunit ribosomal RNA
Source: RNAcentral
CCGGAAUUUUUUUUCCCCGCCGGGGAAACUAGCAUAUCAAUAAGCGGAGGAAAAGAAACCAACAGGGAUUGCCCUAGUAACGGCGAGUGAAGCGGCAACAGCUCAAAUUUGAAAUCUGGCGUCUUUGGCGUCCGAGUUGUAAUUUGCAGAGGGCGCUUUGGCAUUGGCAGCGGUCCAAGUUCCUUGGAACAGGACGUCACAGAGGGUGAGAAUCCCGUACGUGGUCGCUAGCCUUUACCGUGUAAAGCCCCUUCGACGAGUCGAGUUGUUUGGGAAUGCAGCUCUAAAUGGGAGGUAAAUUUCUUCUAAAGCUAAAUACUGGCCAGAGACCGAUAGCGCACAAGUAGAGUGAUCGAAAGAUGAAAAGCACUUUGGAAAGAGAGUUAAAAAGCACGUGAAAUUGUUGAAAGGGAAGCGCUUGCAGCCAGACUUGCCUGUAGUUGCUCAUCCGGGUUUCUACCCGGUGCACUCUUCUACGGGCAGGCCAGCAUCAGUUUGGGCGGUUGGAUAAAGGUCUCUGUCAUGUACCUCCUCUCGGGGAGAUCUUAUAGGGGAGACGACAUGCAACCAGCCUGGACUGAGGUCCGCGCAUCUGCUAGGAUGCUGGCGUAAUGGCUGUAAGCGGCCCGUCUUGAAACACGGACCAAGGAGUCUAACAUCUAUGCGAGUGUUUGGGUGUCAAGCCCGAGCGCGUAAUGAAAGUGAACGGAGGUGGGAACCUUUCGGGGUGCACCAUCGACCGAUCCUGAUGUCUUCGGAUGGAUUUGAGUAAGAGCAUAGCUGUUGGGACCCGAAAGAUGGUGAACUAUGCUUGAAUAGGGUGAAGCCAGAGGAAACUCUGGUGGAGGCUCGCAGCGGUUCUGACGUGCAAAUCGAUCGUCAAAUUUGGGCAUAGGGGCGAAAGACUAAUCGAACUAUCUAGUAGCUGGUCCUCAGAAUCCCCCCCCCCCAUAGAUAUAACGGCCGGGGCAAAGGGA